GGGGGCAGGGGAGGGAUCACGGGUCACCACCAGAGGCAAAACAAAGCAUCAUUAGUUACUACCAUACGAGGCCAUGCUAGGUCGUGAGGUGUUGUGUGUUAACUGUUCCGGGAGGUUAUGGUAAUGUUGCCAGAUUGUCGUACACAGACGCGUAUAUUUCCUGACUUCCUACCCAAUAACUGUCUUCUGGGCGCUAACAACGAAACUCAUUUAUAGUUAUCGUUAAAAGAGUUAGAUCCUGAUGUCUCUUGGCAAUAGUUAGGUGUCUGAAACUGUUCAAUACUGUGCUCUGAGUACGAUAACUUCCUACCCAAUAACUGUCUUCUGGGCCCCGAUAACAAAACUCAUUUAUAGUUAUCUUGGAUUCUGAUGUCUCUUGGCAAUAGUUAGGCGUCAGAAACCGAUCAAUACUGUGUUCUGAGUACGAUAACUUCCUACCCAAUAACUGUCUUCUGGGCCCCGAUAACAAAACUCAUUUAUAGUUAUCUUGGAUUCUGAUGUCUCUUGGCAAUAGUUAGGCGUCAGAAACCGUUCAAUACUGUGCUCUGAGUACGAUAACUUCCUACCCAAUAACUGUCUUCUGGGCCCCGAUAACAAAACUCAUUUAUAGUUAUCUUAGAUUCUGAUGUCUCUUGGCAAUAGUUAGGCGUCAGAAACCAGUCAAUACUGUGCUCAGAGUACGAUAACCUGGCAACAGUACUCAAGGGGUUAUGAUUCUUAAAGACUAUUUCUGCAUGCGUUGCGCUCCAAGCUUCAUUAGUGUGAGUGGUAUGACUGAUUUUGAUUUUCUGCAGCAAUGACUCAAGUAAACCAGGUAAAGGAUGUCCUGUAAAAAGUGCAUUGUUCCAGGAGGUUAUGGUAAUACAGUUCAAGGGGUUAUGAUCCUUAAAGACUAUUUCUGCAUGCGUUGCGCUCCAAGCUUCAAACAUGUGAGUGAUAGGAUUGAUUUUGAUUUUCUGCUGCAAUGACUCAAGUAAACCAGGUAAAGGAUGUCCUGUAUAAAGUGCAUUGUGUAGGUGUCUGUGUGUGUGUGAAUAUAAGCUUCAUUUCUUCAACAUGACCAAUGGCAACAUCAUGCAAAUGGGACCCGUAAACAUGCUCCUCCAUUCCACUACUCUAGCGUGACCUCUCCAAGCUACAACACUCCUGGUUAAUUAACAAAGCACAGCAAUGGAAAAACAGUGUGCCAGCAUUCAUAAACAAGCAACCAACUAAACUUACUAAAGGCUUAAGGAAACAAACACCAAGAUAAACUUCCGUCGCAUGCAUGUAUGAGUGUGCAUGUACCCACACACACGUGCGCUCCCGUGGCUCAGUGGAUUAAAGCUCCAUCCUGGUAGACUGACGUUCAGGUCCCACUCAGUUUAAAAGACCAGUGCUGUACCCGGUGAGUAAAAUGAAUGGAGUGUGUGUGUGAAGGUCCCGGCAGUUCCCAGAUAUCUGCUAAUGAGCGUAGAAUGUUCUCACUGGGAGCGUGCUACUUCCAGGAUUAACAAGUCCAGCAUGUGAUCAGGUCCUGGUGAAUUCUGAAGGGCCGUCGAGGUUCAUAAACAAGCUCAGAAUGUUCUCACUGGGAGCGUGCUACUUCCGGGGUAUAACAAGUCCAGCAUGUGAUCAGGUCCUGGUGAAUUCUGAAGGGGCGUCGAGGUUCAUAAACAAGCACAGAAUGUUCUCACUGGGAGGGUGCUACUUCCGGGGAAUAACAAGUCCAGCAUUGAUCAGGUCCCGGUGAAUUCUGAAGGGCCGUUGAGGUCAAUAAAAGGUUUUGUUGUAGAAUUUGCUGCAGUGAUGCCAUGGAGGUUUUGCAUAUGCUCUGUCAACUCCUAGAUAAGCUGAGGUCACGUUGGGUCAAUGCUGAACAAGGACACUUCAGAACACUUCAUCUGUGGACACUUCAUAAUCCCUGGACACUUCAGAACACUUCAUUCGAGGAUGCUGCGUAAUAUUUCAUCCCAGAACACUAAAAUGCUUCUUCAUCUAAGGGACACUUCAUAACACUUCAGGGGACAUUUCGUAACAUUUCAUCCCGGGACACUUCGGAACACUUCAUCUGAGGAACAUUUCGCAACACAUUUGAUUAAGGACACUUCAUAACAGAGCAUUUAAGGACACUCCAUAACACUUCCUCUCGGGCUUUCCAAGUACGUUCCUCGUCAAUGGCUCACAACUUCUCGUCCAUUCUCUCUUUCUCUCACUCACUCAGAAUCAUUUCCCGCAAUCCCACUCUAUCAUUAAGAACAUAACAUAGGUACUUAUUCUGUGACCAUCAAUAGCACCCAUGACUCUCUUUUAAUACUAACCCAACUGCUCUUCUGACCCCCUCUACUGCCCUCACUCAUUAGAAUUAUUUCCCGUAAUCCCACUCUAUUACUAGGAACAUGACAUAGGUACUUCCUCUGUGCCUUCAAUAGCACCCAUGACUCUCUUUUAAUACUAACCCAACUGCUCUUCUGACCCCCUCUACUGCCCUCACUCACUAGAAUCAUUUCCCGCAAACCCAAUUUAUUAGUAAGAACAUGACAAUACUUUUUAACUUCUCUCCAUAGCACUCAUAACUGGACUCUUCUAACACUAACUCAACUGCUUCCCUUACAGCCCUGAGCUAUAUGACAACAACGUCAACCAUAACAAUAG
Long non-coding RNA from Eriocheir sinensis (Chinese mitten crab), 2634 nucleotides. RefSeq lists it as uncharacterized. The transcript is spliced from 3 exons. The record is from RefSeq and is a predicted model, not a curated record. Lineage: Eukaryota; Metazoa; Arthropoda; Malacostraca; Decapoda; Varunidae.